CUAACUGAUCGACAUGUAUAUAGGAACUGCACGCCAUAAGCUCAAAGAAAGACGUCGUUCUUGUUCUUCACGGAGCUUCCGGUUUGUCUGAGAAGCUUAUCAAGGAAUGCAUUGAGAAUGGAGUGAGGAAGUUCAACGU
Non-coding RNA from Camelina sativa (false flax), 139 nucleotides. The record is from RefSeq and is a predicted model, not a curated record. NCBI's taxonomy places the organism in Eukaryota, Viridiplantae, Streptophyta, Magnoliopsida, Brassicales, Brassicaceae.